GUGGUCAAAUCAUGACGACGGUGAUCUUCAGGUUGGAGAUCUAGAAAGAUGCCAAGAGUUUCCGACUUGGAAUUCCGAUUGUUCCCAGUGUGGAGCUCGUUAUGUUCAAGUUCCCAUUGUUCUUGAACGGGCUGAAGUCUGAGAUUUUCGCGUUCAGAGUUGUUUUGAACGCGGCAUAUGUCCGAAGACACAAGGCAAGAUGGUAUACUAUAUAAUACGUGUAGCCUAUUGUCGGGUGUUUUGUUUUCUUCUUUCGCCUAUGACGUAAUCUGGUCUAGAAAUACGUCACUUGAAUUUGAGCGUGACAGGACUUCUUGGGUCAGUUCUUCAUCAAGGAGUCAGUCAGUUUCAGGCCUAACUACCAUCAAGCUAGGAAAGGACACCCGCUCAGACUUCGUGAGGUCAAGUCUGUCACAGAUGCUAAUGUAGACUAAUCCACGAGACAACUUCAUCCUAAAAAUGUCUGACUACAUUGUGAAGAUCGAGGGAACUGGUCCCGAGGAGUCCGAGGCAUCCCCUGAGAAGUCCAGGGACCCGUCACCUGAGCCUGCUGUUCUGCCCAUGACAGAUGUGUCCUUCCCUGGAGCAAUGGAACACAUGAAUGAGAUGCUUAGCUCCUUGGAUCAAGUGAUGGACAGUCAAACACAAGAAAAUGGUGAACAAGUGGAAGCAACUGAAAGUCAGAGAAAGAGACUAAAGGGAAACCUAGGUUCGUCCUCUGUUGGGUGUUCACUUGGAUGUAUUCCAAGCUUUGACUCAGUGUCCCUUACAUCUACAGUCAACACGGAUAACAACUCAGGGGAGAGCCUAGAGCAGCUGCAGUACCAAGGGGCCCUGAGGGUGGAUACAUGUGAUGAGGUGGAGGUCAAGGUGCUAGAUAUCGACUUAUCUUCAUUCACCCUGAACCGGAUUUCCUUCUCCAGUAUUCUUCAGGAGGAGAAUGACAGAGUGCUGGACAAGGACACUAUGGAUUGUCGCUCUCUGUCGAGAACAGUUCCCUUUGAAAGCAGCCCAAUUCCGGAGAGGAGUGGAAGCUUGAAGACGUAUUGCAGUAGUGUACCCACCCCGUACCAGUCAAGAUUAUCCCUUACCUCCACUGAGGCACAUGAUCAGGUUGCAAACAGCUCAGGCACACAAGUGAGCCUCCAAAUCCCGAUGGACCCUCUGGAGGAGCUUUUUGGUAUCACUCAGGAUAUGAUAUACACAGACGUCCAUGAAAGAGUGAUUGAAGUGUUGCAGGACAUCUACUCGGCAGCUAACCAGCUAGAGCAACAGCUAUUCCAGAGUGUCUCUGACAGGCAAGCUAGAGCCAUUGUAAAGGCGGUAGUGCAGCAGAUCAAUGCCGCCCUCUCCAGGGCUCUCCAACAAACCUGCUCGGGAUCACAAUUACUUACUAUAGUGGGAUCUGCCAAGCUCUAUAGCAAAGAUGGGUUGGCAGCGGUGGAGGGCCAAGGAGUUCCUUUGAUCACCUCGUCAGCAGAGGGAGACAGGGAUGGCAACAAGGAAGGAAGUAGACCGUUGAAACGUUGUUUUAACAGCUUUGUUCGUGUUUUGUCAGCAAAAAUGAGGAGUAUCUCCAAGGGGAUCAAACAGACCAGCGAGAGUGCACAACAAGAGCACAGGCUAGUUGUUGAGCUGCCAGCAUCAUCUGACGAGGGUACAGAGCAAGAGGCAGCAGAGAAAGCUGGAUCUAGUACAGUUUCUGAACCCGCUAGGGAGGAGAUCACAGAGGUCAGUGAAGUUCUUCAGUCGGAAUCUGAUGAUUCUCUACUUCCCUCCAUCGGGGGAAUGCUCUUCCACGUUGGAUCCAUGCCUCAUACAGAGGAUUCAGUGGAACUAUACGGCAAGGUUCCAUCAAAGUUAACACCAGAAAGUAUGGUGCAGGAAGAACGUGUUGAUGAAGGCUUGUCUAAGGUUUGUUCCAGGACAACUUCUUCAACCAGCACCACUUUCAGCAUGGACGAUGUCCAGAAGACUGUUGCUACUUUGACCACUUCUGGAAGUGACAGGGGUAGAAGCAUUAUCACUACCCCAGAAACGCCAGAGCAGAGUCUGCACCACCAGGGAGGUGGACUGGACACCCCUGUCUCCUCAGAGACAAGAGUGGCUGAAAGUGUCAGAAAGAGCCCUGCAACUUGGUCAGACGCAGAGGGAUUAAGUUAUGCAAAAAAGUCUGUGUCGGAGUUAAUGGAGAGGAUGGUUCUCAGCCGUGAGGAUGCAACGUCAGCAGAGAAGAGCCUGGACAUCCUCCUCUCCUCUGGUAUUCUUCGUCCUCACACUGACAAGUUAGUCGACCAGCUGCGAAAACUUUUGAUGGUGAACAGCACACUUACAGCACAAUCUGUGUCUGGCAGGUCAAAAUCAGAAUCUGCUCUGCCGAAGUCCAGCAUGACAGGGGAACUCCAAAGGGAGAUCUCAAGGAACGGUUUGCUGGAGAUAGCAUAUACUAUCACAGAGAGAUCUAUAAAGACCCUUUUGGAGCAGCUGCUCACUGCCCUCCUCCCUCCAUCUGUAGUGGUUGAGGUUGCCAGGUCAUGUCAGAACAUCCGACCAGUCACUCCCUCUCAGGUGAUGAGUUCUGAAGUUAGCCCAGGGUGCUGCAACCCUCUGUCAAUGAUUUGCCGUGUGAUCAUAGAUGUCUUUACGAUCACAAGACAGGUGGUUGAGACAGCCAGUGAAAUGGAUAUGUCUCCCCCCGGAGAGAACAUUGAUGGAAGUCUUUGUAGCAACACAGCACCACUGCCCACUGAUUCAACCCCAUCUGUCCACCCGAUCAACCGUGAGUGCAACAGAUCUUUGGUGACCAAACCAACAAACAAAAUCAAGAGCUUGACAUUCUCAUUUCCUAAGCUCCCAAAGAUCAGUCUCAUAAAGUGCAAGAAAGUCAACCAAGGGGAUAUCGCUCCCCUUGAGACCACCAAGGAUCCUGCUGAUGUCAACUAUAGUAUAUUCUGCACUACUCCAACACCAGAGAAUGCACAACGACAAGAGGAAGAUCUGGCCUCCUGCUCCUCACAGAGGAAGGAAAGGGCAAAGAACCCAUUCUUUUUAAUCCGGGUAUACUCUGCCAAGUCUACGCAUGAAAACAGCUAGCGUCAGUAGAAAUGUCCUUUUGGUUAUUUGGCAACACAACCAGAGGACCAUCUCGCCACCUACUCCACAACGAGGAAGGAGAGGCUCAAGAAGUGUUCAUUUUCACUGCCAUAGCCAAUCAUUUCAACUCAGUCCUACUGACAUCCCUCUGGGCAAAAAAAUUGUUUAAUCAACAUCGCUUCCACAUCAUCUCAACACCCUAAAAAAUCUACACGAUGAACUGAUAGGAUUUACAACAAGUCAUGAACCAGGACAUUUCGUCUUUUUUUCACCCAACUUUUAAUCUGAAUCCAAUGACAUGGUGAUUUUUUUUUUAACGUUGAAGUGACGUUAGUUGACAACUCAACCAAAUGUAAUUCAAAACUAGAUGUUGAACUGACAUCUGUGCCCAGUGGGAUUUGCUGUUGUCAGUCUUCUACACGGGUUUUGCAACUACAUCAGAGGACCAUCUUGCCUCCUUACUCCCCAACAAGGAAGAAGAGGCCCAAUAAUUGUUACUUUUUUGUCAACCAGUCCUUUCAACUCUUUCAAAACUCAUUUCAAAACUCUCCUUUCACCUAUUAAUCUCAUUCACGAAGCUUCCAAAGAAAUAUCUCAACAAAAAUUGUCUACACCACCACCAGAGGAGGAACUUGCCUCCUGCUCGCCAAUGAGGAAGGAGAUGCCCAUGAAGCGUAUAUUCACUUCCUUCAAUAAUAAACUGCCACUUCAUGCAUUCACGAGUCCUUUAGUGAAAUGUAUAUAUUUUUAAAGUAAAGUAGAGUGGAGAGAUCGACAAAGAAGAGAAUUCAUGGGCAUUCAAAGCUCAAAGAAAUCCCUCAUGACAUUCUUUGAGUCUUAAUCCAGCGGUCGAGUUCAAAACGGACUGUAUAUAGGUCUGGCUGCCAAGUCUGUAAAUCCUGUUCUAAUCUAUUCUCCCCUUUGGACUCAAAUAUUGAUAAAGUCCCUGGCAGUCAGGUUCAUGUUUGACACGAAUGGUCUGACAAUAAUUUUUGCUAUGAGUAAUACACCAUUGCAAACCAUGAGGCAAUCUGACCAUAAAUAAAUAGGCUUUCCAUUAUAUACUGUGAUCCUGGCUUUAAUCACACAUUCAUUAAGUUGGUUGUAACAGAUGAUAAAACAGUAUUGAUUAUUCAAAUGUUACACAGACGCCCAAAGGUCACUAUUACUGAUGGUGCAGUCUUCUAUCCACCCAUUGGCUAAUGUACAGUAGCUACAUCUAUCAUAUAAACACACUCUAAAGCCUGCUUCCCAUCAGAAUGUGCCUUGUUGAUCAGAGUCCAGUGGGAGUCAUGGAAGUCUCAAUGGGUGUUAAGGUAAAUCAGGAGAUGUGUGUUAGCUCUUUGCAGAGUGUAACACGCCUAUCUAUCAUGUUUAAUGCACUUGAUCCAUAUUCAAGAGUUGAUCGAAUAGUCCAAGUAGUCGGUUCCACGGAAUCUGUAUAUUAAAUGUCUAACAGAUGAAGCCACUUGUGAUAUAAAUAUAGGUAUGUCGAAUCUGGCACUCAAAUGGUGGCAUAUUGGGACACAAUUUAAUGUCUCACUUGUAGAUACUAUCCCCUUAUGGCGUUUCUUCUCUCUUAAAUUACCUUCAAAGUAAUUGUAUUUCUUUAUGAAAAUGCUGCUGUAAAAGUUGGUUCUCUCAUGAAAUGUCUGAGAUCAAUCUCAUUUUGAAGGGAAUUUAAAAUUAUUUGUUGUCAACUACAUGAAUCAAAAGGUAUGACCCAGUGACUUCAUCUCCAUGCAUUAUAUUAUUUGGUCAUUCUGCAUAUUUAAGAACAAGUGAUACAUUAGAAAUCUCUGGCAAUGUUUUCAAUUGGGAGGUCUAAUCGUGACACCAUUCGUGGCAUUUGCAGUUCACGACCUCUUUGUACAACCAAUCACUUUUUAGACAGUUCCCUCUCGUCCAAUCGGAUGAGGUGAUGUUGGAGCGUGUAGUUGUGUUGUUUUUAAUUUGGAAGUGAGCGAAUCAGGGAACUGUCAAGCGGUAAAAAAAGAGCACCACAUGUUUUCCAGAGUAUCACAGUUUCUAUAGCUUCAGUUAGCUAACUAACAUAAACCCUAGCAACCUGUUGAUUGAUGUAAGCAGGGUAACGUUUGCUCGCUAGCUAGCGUGUGUAAAAUAACAGCCAUCAAUGUUUAACAACGAUGAGGAUCUUGUAGAUGUGGCCACUUUAAGGAAUCAAUUGUGAUUGACGGAGAUAAGUUUGAAAAGUUUGGGAGAACAAUUAUGGGCUGUGGAGAUGGAGGUUGCCCCCUCCUCAGGGAGAAGCUGUGUUGCCUGUGUCAAGAGAACGACUCCCUGGAGAACAGACAGCUCAUUAGGGACCUGGAGGUGGCCCAGAUUGAACUGGGCAGCUCCAAGACCAAGUGUUUGGCAGAAGAGGAUGUCUUCCUUAAUUGACCCCCCAUAAACGUAACGGUCAUAUACCAGGAGCUGUGCAAGGCCCGCCACGUCUGUUGACUCAUCCAGCUGUAACAGACAUAUACCAGGAGCUGUGCCAGGCCCGCCACGUCUGUUGACUCAUCCAGCUGUAACAGACAUAUACCAGGAGCUGUGCCAGGCCCUCCACGUCUGUUGACUCAUCCAGCUGUAACAGACAUAUACCAGGAGCUAUGCAAGGCCCGCCACGUCUGUUGACUCAUCCAGCUGUAACAGACAUAUACCAGGAGCUGUGCAAGGCCCGCCACGUCUGUUGACUCAUCCAGCUGUAACAGACAUAUACCAGGAGCUGUGCAAGGCCCGCCACGUCUGUUGACUCAUCCAGCUGUAACAGACAUAUACCAGGAGCUGUGCAAGGCCCGCCACGUCUGUUGACUCAUCCAGCUGUAACAGACUUAUACCAGGAGCUGUGCAAGGCCCGCCACGUCUGUUGACUCAUCCAGCUGUAACAGACAUACCAGGAGCUGUCCCAGGCCCUCCACGUCUGUUGACUCAUCCAGCUGUAACAGACAUAUACCAGGAGCUGUGCAAGGCCUGCCACGUCUGUUGACUCAUCCAGCUGUAACAGACAUAUACCAGGAGCUGUGCAAGGCCCGCCACGUCUGUUGACUCAUCCAGCUGUAACAGACAUAUACCAGGAGCUGUCCCAGGCCCUCCACGUCUGUUGACUCAUCCAGCUGUAACAGACAUAUACCAGGAGCUGUGCAAGGCCUGCCACGUCUGUUGACUCAUCCAGCUGUAACAGACAUAUACCAGGAGCUGUCCCAGGCCCGCCACGUCUGUUGACUCAUCCAGCUGUAACACAUAGAAUUCACUGGCUUGUACGCAAAUCAGUAAUUGUUUCAAAACAUCUCCUGUCACUGAUGCUUUGUGUAACUGUGUUGUUUGAUGAAUUCAUUGUCUGUAUAGUUUUUUGGGCCUCUUUCCCCAGCAUUGUCCCAGCCGUAUCCGCGGCAGCAGGAAUAAUUAAGUCCUCCACAAUAGUAUGGGGCUUGCCUGUCAUAGCCACUCGGUAGCUCACCAUAUAAGACUCUUCAAGCCCCUUCUUAUUAAUGGUACCUGCUUUUAUAUAUGUCUUACUACUCAAAAGUUGUCUUAAUUCUCGCUCAAAAAACUCCCGUGGCUUAUUUUUCAAAUUGUGACUCUGACUACGUCAGAUUCACAGCCGUCAGUGUCAGUGCAGGUGUAGUACUGCUGGUAGUAGCAGUACUACCAGUAGAGUUGGUAUGUGUCUCUAUGGAUGCGGGCCGUAAAUCAUUUCUCAAUUUUCGAGCAAAAGAAAUGAGCAGCAGCUACGUUUGGCUGCAUAAGGACCGUUAGUGGAAUUUCUGCGUGAGACGAACGGUUAAUGUGAUUAGAUGUUCAUUAUUUGACUAGGAUACCUGUAUUUGACAUUGUGUUGUUAUUUCACUGAACACUAGAUGUUUUAAUAUUAUUUUUUGGCAGUGAAACGAGGCUACACAAGAAAGAAAAAAAACUCACCCAAGUGUAUAGCCCCAUUGGAAAAUAGAAAUGGACUGUUUAAAAAUGUGAAGAAGAAAAUAAAAACAUUUAAAAAACGAUAUAUAUUAUUAUAUUGUAUUUUUCUCCAUUAAACAGUCCACAAUCAUAUUACACAAUUAUACAAACAGUAUCAUACUCACUCAUUCAUCUUAUACAACAAUUAGAUGUAAACCCUUCGUCUUUCCGUCUCCCCUUCGUCGUUCCGUCUCCCCUUCAUCGUUCCGUCUCCCCUUCAUCGUUCCGUCUCCCCUUCAUCGUUCCGUCUCCCCUUCAUCGUUCCUUCUCCCCUUCAUCGUUCCUUCUCCCCUUCAUCGUUCCUUCUCCCCUUCGUCGUUCCGUCUCCCUUCUCCCCUUCGUCGUUCCGUCUCCCUUCUCCUCUUCUCUCCCUCAUCUUUCCAUCUCCCUUCUCCCAUUCUCUCCCUCAUCAAAUGUCUUACCAUUAUCGUGCCAUUAUCAUACCAUAGGCAUCAAUGAUCACGGAUUGCAUACAAUACAAGGAUGUGCAUAAAUGUUUGACAUAAAUACAUAACAUAUUGCAGAUAACAGGAGUGUUUCUGAUUACAUGAACAUGUUUUGUUUCUGUGUGUCAAGUGAGGCAUUUACAUUACAUUUAAGUCAUUUAGCAGACGCUCUUAUCCAGAGCGACUUACAAAUUGGUGCAUUCACCUUAUGACAUCCAGUGGAACAGCCACUUUACAAUAGGCAGCUGGAGACAGCGCUGGCCUGUAGAGAUGUAGGCCAAGGAUCAGUACCAGAGACAGCGCUGGCCUGUAGAGAUGGAGGCCAAGGAUCAGUACCAGAGACAGCGCUGGCCUGUAGAGAUGGAGGCCAAGGAUCAGUACCAGAGACAGCGCUGGCCUGUAGAGAUGGAGGCCAAGGAUCAGUACCAGAGACAGCGCUGGCCUGUAGAGAUGGAGGCCAAGGAUCAGUACCAGAGACAGCGCUGGCCUGUAGAGAUGGAGGCCAAGGAUCAGUACCAGAGACAGCGCUGGCCUGUAGAGAUGGAGGCCAAGGAUCAGUACCAGAGACAGCGCUGGCCUGUAGAGAUGGAGGCCAAGGAUCAGUACCAGAGACAGCGCUGGCCUGUAGAGAUGGAGGCCAAGGAUCAGUACCAGAGACAGCGCUGGCCUGUAGAGAUGGAGGCCAAGGAUCCAGGAGCCUCGAGGUGUGUGUGUUUUGCGGUGCUACAUGUAGGUACCUCCCUGUUACUUGUACAGCAUUGUAACUGUCUGACAGUCUCCACUACCAUGCUUGUGUGUGCUUUUGACUGUUUGUACAUGUGUGUUUGUAUCACUUUGUAUGUGUGACCACCUAUCCCUCUCCACUCCGUCGCCGGCUGUUGUCUCUGCAGGAGGAGUUGCGUAGCAGCACUCUGGUGUGUAGUCACUUCAGUGUCCAGCUCCAGUACCCCCUGCAGCAGAACAUGUUACAGGAGAGCAGCACCCGCUGGCCGAGCUGGAGGACAGCCAGCUACAGGGACAUGUAGAGAAACCUAUGGAAGAGACAAGGUACAUAGACAAAUACUCUACCAAGAUGAGAGACGAAGAUAAAUACUCUACCUAGAUGAGAGACGAAGACAAAUACUCUACCUAGAUGGGAGACUAAGACAAAUGCUCUACCUAGAUGAGAGACGAAGAUAAAUGCUCUACCUAGAUGAGAGACGAAGACAAAUACUCUACCUAGAUGAGAGACGAAGACAAAUACUCUACCUAGAUGAGAGACGAAGACAAAUACUCUACCUAGAUGAGAGACGAAGACAAAUACUCUACCUAGAUGGGAGACGAAGACAAAUACUCUACCUAGAUGGGAGACGAAGACAAAUACUCUACCUAGAUGAGAGACGUAGAUAAAUACUCUACAUAGAUGAGAGACGAAGAUAAGUACUCUACCUAGAUGAGAGACGAAAAUAAAUACUCUACCUAGAUGAGAGACGAAGAUAAAUACUCUACCUAGAUGGGAGACGAAGACAAAUACUCUACCUAGAUGGGAGACGAAGAUAAAUACUCUACCUAGAUGAGAGACGAAGAUAAAUACUCUACCUAGAUGGGUGUAAAUGUGUCCUAUAGAGGGACGUCACAAAUAACGAGGUGUCGUGCCAACUUGGUAAAACACGGGCCAUUGAGUCAGCUACAGGGUGGUAAAACCAACUAGAGAGACUCAGACAAAUGGUCUACCUAGACGCCAGGUAUGAAUAUGUGUCUUACAGACAGGGAGAACCCUAACAUUGCAUUGAGACCUAAGGUAAAACACACAUCUGUCAAGCAAAAGCUAUUGCAUAAUACUCCAUUUAUUUGAGUAUUUGACAUAGCAGGGUUCUUUCUGUAUGUGGUUCUAAUCGUCUUAGCUAGUCAUUUCAGAUGCUCUUGCCAUAUUGUUGUGUCACUGUUCUUUUUUUUCUUGUUUUUCACCAAGAACACAGUAUAAAGGACUCCAUUGACCAAAUCUAAAUAUCUACAGUUGCGGGAAUUAACAUUUCUGAAAGCGCGGCUUGACAGGAGACAUGAGAUCUGAACUUCCCAAAGGCAACACUCUUUCUGUGUAAAAUGUGAAAUCUUAGGCUAUCACCAAGUCUUCUGUUGUUUUAAGGUGAAUCAUGUUAACUGUUAUUUAGCGGUAGUGGAAAGGAGUCUUUCGAGCAGCGAGGACAUUCCCUAUCAUGGGGAAUUCCAAAGGGACAUAUCUAGCAGACAUCGUGAUCUUUGUGAGAUGCAGCGCUGUGGGUCAAUUCCAACACAAUUCAGGAAAUUAUCAAAGUUCCGUUCCUGACUUGACAAAUCAUUUUAAGACGUGCUAUUUCUUAUCCACAAUGGUCUGCAUUUGUUUCAACUUUAAUGUUACGCCCACAGAUUAUCACAAAUCAGGGUCGGUCCAUAGUGAGAAAUCUUAUGAGUUUUGAAUUUAGCUCUGGUGAUAUGGACUCUGAUCUAACUUGCUGAUGUGGCCUGGUUUGUGUCUGUCUAAUACUAGGAUACAGACAGUAAUAACACUGUUUUCCUACUGGAAGCAGCACUAGAAAAAGAGAUUUGAAUGCAAGUCUUGUGCUUCUUGAAAUCCCUCCCAUUGACGCACAUACUAUCGCCUACAGAAAUAAAUAUUUAUCGUUCAUUUAUCUGUGUACUGUACUUUGCUUAUCUGACAUUCAGUUCAAAAUGUACAACUGUAAAAAAACACACAAAAAAAACAUUAGUUUCCAUGACUACACAGGGAUGAAAGCAUCUUAAUGUGAAUUAAACUUUUUCAACAUUUUGUUAUGUUAGAGGCUUAUUAUAAAAUGUAUUUUUUCUUCUCAUCAAUCUACACACAAUACCUCAUAACAAAGCAAAAACUGUUUUUUGACAUUUUUGCAAAUAAAGAAAAUGAAAUAUCACAUUUACAUAAGUAUUCAGUACUUUAUUGAAGUACCUUUCGAGGCAGCGAUUACAGCCUUGAGUCUUCUUGGGUAUGACGCUACAAGCUGGGCACACCUGUAUUUGGGGAGUUUCUCCCAUUUCUUCUCUGCAGAUCCUCUGAAGCUCUGUCAGUUUGGAUGGGGAGCGUCGCUGCACAUCUAUUUUCAGGUUUCUCCAGAGAUGUUUGAUUGGGUUCAAGUCCAUGCUCUGGCUGGGCCACUCAAGGACAUUCAGAGACUUGUCCCGAAGCCACUCCUGCGUUGUCUUGGCUGUGUGCUUAGGGUCGUUGUCCUGUUGGAGCAGGUUUUCAACAAGGAUCUCUCUGUACUUUGCUCCGUUCAUCUUUCUCUCGAUCCUGACUAGUUUCCCAGUCCCUGCCACUGAAAAACAUCCCCACAGCAUGAUGCUGCCACCACCAUGCUUUGCCAUAGGGAGGUUGCCAGGUUUCCUCCAGAUGUGACACUUGUCAUUCAAGUUCAAGCUUGGUUUCAUCAGACCAGAGAAUCUUGUUUCUCAUUAUCUGAGAGUCUUUAGGGGCCUUUUGGGAAAACUUCAAGUGGGCUGUCAUGUACCUUUUACUGAGGAGUGGUUUCCGUCUGGCCACUCUACCAGGCCUGAUUGGUGGAGUGCUGCUGCUAGAAGGUUCUCCCAACUCCACAGAGGAAUUCUGGAGCUCUGUCAGAGUGUCCAUCAGGUUCUUGGUCACCUCCCUGACCAAGGCCCUUCUCCCCCGCUUGCUCCGUUUGGUUGAGCGGCCAGCCCUAAGAGAGCUUCUUGCAUUUAAGAAUGAUGGAGGCCAAUGUGUUCUUGGAGACCUUUAAUACUGCAGCCAUUUUUUUGUUGCCCUUCCCUAGAUCUGUGCCUCAACACAAAAAGUCUCGGGGCUCUACGGACAAUUCUUUCGACCGCAUGGCUUGGUUUUUGCUCUGACAUGCACUGUCAACUGUGGGACCUUUUUAUAUAGACAGGUGUGUGCCUUUCCACAUCAUGUCCAAUUAAUUGAAUUUACCACAGGUGGGCUCCAAUCAAUUUGAAACAUGAUGCACCUGAGCUCAAUUUCGAGUCUCAUCAUAGCAAAGGGUCUGAAUAAUUAUGUAAAUAAUUUAUAAUUUAAAAAAAAAUUAUACAUUUGGAAAAAUGUCUAAACCUGUUUUCACUUUGUCAUUAUGGAGUAUUGUGUGUAGAUUGAGGAUUUAUUUUUAUUAUGUCUGUAAUGUAACAAAAUGUGGAAAAAAGUAAAGGUGCCUGAAUACUUUCCCGAAUGCAGUGUAUGUUUAGGAUUGUGCUUAAACUCAUUAUUAGUAAUUUAAUAUGAAUAUGUGAUAUCCCCCGG
Oncorhynchus keta (chum salmon) is the source of this 11760-nucleotide RNA transcript. RefSeq lists it as uncharacterized. The transcript is spliced from 12 exons. Lineage: Eukaryota; Metazoa; Chordata; Actinopteri; Salmoniformes; Salmonidae. The record is from RefSeq and is a predicted model, not a curated record.